UACGAAGGGGGCUAGCGUUGUUCGGAAUCACUGGGCGUAAAGCGCACGCAGGCGGAUCGUUAAGUCAGGGGUGAAAUGCCAAGGCUCAACCUGGGAACAGCGCUUGAGACUGGCACGCUCGAGGUUCGGGAGAGGAUGGUGGAAUUCCCAGUGUAGAGGUGAAAUUCGUAGAUAUUGGGAAGAACACCGAUGGCGAAGGCAGCCAUCUGGACCGACACUGACGCUGAGGCGCGAAAGCGUGGGGAGCAAACAGG
RNAcentral lists this ribosomal RNA (254 nucleotides) under uncultured bacterium. Its description in RNAcentral is "partial 16S ribosomal RNA". It matches the Rfam family "Bacterial small subunit ribosomal RNA", at positions 524 to 776 of the family's 1533-position model. The record is from RNAcentral.